This 5665-nucleotide long non-coding RNA is filed under the name Homo sapiens (human). Its description in RNAcentral is "HSALNT0101087". Lineage: Eukaryota; Metazoa; Chordata; Mammalia; Primates; Hominidae. The record is from RNAcentral.
GGCCAACUGAGUAAUUGCUAUAAUGCAUUCCCUUUUCAUAAUAUCUGCACUGAAUCUUUGUUGCUUCGCACUUCAGUUUGCAUUCCAGCAUUCUUUCAUGCCAAGCCUGGUGAUUACUUUGAGUCCCUGAGCUACAGGCAUAAUUAUCUCUCAAGAAGACAUUGGGGACUCUUGAGAGGAAGCCCGAGGAAGAUGGAGAGAAGAAUACUAGAUGAAGGAUUAAGAACUUGAGCCUGCCAACUUUUGAACUGGGACUUAUACCUCAUUGGCUCUCCUGAUUCUACAGCUUGCUAACCGCAGAUCUUGGGAUCGCUCACCCUCCAUAAACAUGCACUACCAAAAGUGUUUAGAGCACUCUGUUGAAAAUGGCAGUAUUUGAAGAAACUGGAUGUCACUUAAAAUAUGAUCCUUGGAUAAACAUCACAUGCUGCUGGCCUUCUUACAAAAUGAGUAAGCACUGACUUUCUCUUUCUGGCUGCCAAAGCCACUUUGAUUUUCCUGGAGACUUCUAUUUAGCAGGUAGUUUGAGGGGACUAUGGGGAGGGGACAAAUAUCGUACAUUUGGAUUACAAUCUUUAUUUGCUUCACCUGCCCUCUUUUUUGAGUAAAAGAGUUAAGGACAUGUUUCUAUACAAUGAAAAACAAACUAAAAUUAUUCAGAGAGUUAACCUAACUUUUUGCCCUUCCCCAAUGAGACAUAUAAAUGAGAGCUUGCAUUUCUUGGCCAGAUCCGAUGAAUUUAAAUUUUCCAUUAACAUAUAAUAGGUUUAGACUAUAAAUCCCUUUGAGCGUGGGAAUCAGUGAGGAAAAACAACACUCUGGAAGCUAUUGCUCAAAUAAGCUCAAACACUUAUUUUAGAAUAUACCAUGCCUGUAAAGAGAAAGAUAAUACAUUUUAUGUGUGUCAAUUUUUAAAAAAACAGCAAGAUUUUUAAAAAGCCAUUUUAUCUCUGAGAGAUUCAAUGACCAUGUUUGAUGACAAGCCAGAUGGCAGCAUUCCCUAGACCCGGUGCCAAGACACAUGACAGGAGCCGCAAUUUACCUUCCGUGGUGAGGCUAGCUGCUGAAGCACACCACAGCUGCAGGCGAGCGGGCUGCUGCCGGUAGGUGCAAGCACAGUUGGUUCCCUCCCAAUUUGGAUGCAGCAGGUGUGAGUGAAGUGCUUGGCUCUGCGAGAUGGUCCUGGAAUAUCUUCACCACUCUUCACAAUUACGUCCUCUUGCAUUCCCACUGAUCCUUCAGAAUUGUGUGGCCUUUCAACUUUCUGAAAGGCCUUCACUGUCUCUUAAUUCAAAUUCUCCACAUGUAAAUACAAGUCAGAUCACCUUACAAUUUAAUCUUUAAGCAAAACUGUAAAUCAUCAUUUCCCGCGACAUUACAAUUGUUGGGGGAAAGGUGUUUGGUGUCACAUCUAAUGGCUUGAAAACUCGGAGCAUCUCUGGACACAGUCAAUAUCCAGGUCUCAAAUAUGCAUUUACUGUGUUUAUUAUAAUGACUGCCUUUGUAUUCACUGCAAUCAUUUUCUACUGUUUCUUCCUUUGUGUAAUCAUUUCUUCCCUUCCCCUCCAUUGUAUUUUUUUAGAGUAAUUCUAUAUUCUGUUUUUGAAUACACACUUCUCUUUCUUUUAAAAUAAUUUGUUGUGUAUAUUUCAGUUUUACUACCUGAUGUAACAUUAGGAUUGCAGUGCUUACUCUCUCUCUCUCUCUGUAUAUGUGUAUAUAUACAUAUAUACAUAUACAUAUAUAUACAUAUCUAUAUAUAUAUAUCUGUGUAUAUAUACAUAUAUACAAAUCUGUGUAUAUAUGUAUAUGUACACAGACUGAGAGAUAGUACAAUGAUUACUAUAGUGAGGCAGUUUAACCUAUCUAUCAUCUCACAUAGUUGCUUUUUUGUGUGUAAUAAGAACACCUGAAAUCUACGUAUUUAACACAAAUUCCUAAUACAAUAUAAAAAUUCCUAAAGAAAUUAAAAAUGGAGCUGUGUUAUGACCCAGCAAUCCCUCUUCUGGGUCUACAUCCAAAGAAAAUGAAAUCACUACCUUGUAAAGAUCUCUGCACCCCCAUGUACAUUGCAGCGUUAUUCACAAUAGCUAGGCUAUGGAAACAACCCAGGUGUUCGCCAACCAAUGGACAAAUGGAUAAAAAACAGUGGUGUAUAUAUGCGUGUGGGUGUGUGUGUGUGUAGUGGAAUAUUAUUCAGCCUUAAAAAAGGAGACAGUCCUGCCUUUAGCCACAACAUGGAUGGAGCUGGGGACAUCAAGUGAAAUAAGCCAGACACAUAUACACAUCUAAAAAAAAUGGAGCACCUGUUUUCCUAACUUGUCUCUUAGCUAAAAAUUCUUCAGCAGUCUUCACUGCUUGGAAAAUAAAGCCCUCAAUACUUAGCUUCUCGUUAGAUAGAGGUGAUUCUCACUAUUCAUUGUAGGUGUGUUUAAAAAGUCACCACAAACACUGAAUUAGUGAAUACUGAGCCAUUGUUCCUAGGAGAAAUAUAGAGUUCGUUUCCUAUGAACCUCUGGUAAUAGCAUUUUUGUUAACCAAAUAAUAUAUAACCUUGUUUUAUGUGUGUUUCCCUGUACAGUUACCUUAUUUUUUAUAUAUUGAUUCAUUACCAUUAAACUCAUGGCUACCAACAUGAAAACUAUGCUUGAAUGAAGCACCUAACACAUAUUUUCUUCAUAGGGCACAUUGUAGUCUCUUGUGCUGAGGAUCACUGGAGAGCACUCAACACUACCAACACUCGGAAGCCAUUCUAAACAGUACAACACCAAAAAAAGUACAAAAAUGAAAAAACAAGGUGGCAUUUAAUAGACUGCUAAAAGGACACUUGUUUACAGCAGAGAGCUGAAAGGCGGCAGAGUGCCACAUUGUUCCAUGCCAAUUGGAAUGAUGUGCAGAGGGGGACGGGGUUGAACAUGUCCAUGAAACAUGGUGAAAGCGAUGCAAGGGCAUUGAUCGUGGGGUUACAAAUAAAUAUUUGGGACUAGGUGAAUUUGCAAAUAUAGAAUCCUUGAAUAAUGUGGAUCAAUGGAAUUUGCAUUAUGCUGUGAACUUAAUUCCACUGUCAUACACACUAAAAAAUAAGCCAUGUUCUAUCCAGAACAGAGGUUUGAGUAGUCCCAAGGCUCACCUUGUAUUCUCCUAAUCCUAUAACUCUUUUUUACUUUAUACCUUUGGUUUGAAACCACUCCUGUAUUUGUUCCUUCACAUAGCUUUCUGUGGUUAAAAUCACUAUCUCCUCUGCAAAAGCACUGAAGAGAAAUCACCAUUACAGAAGAUGUCAUAUUCUCUUUCAGUUAAGGAUUAUUUUUAUUCAGAUAUGACCCAUCCACGCCUCACCUGUAUCCUAGAAAUUUAAGCUAAAGCUCCAUGAAGGUAAGAACCUUCUCUCCCAUUUCUUUACACCCUCAGUAGCGAGCCCAGAACCCAGCACAUAGCAAGGGCUCGAUAAAUACUUACUAAACUGAAUUCAACUGAAUUUGAUUUGAAUCAGAUUGACGUAUAUUGCUAUUUCUUAGGUACCUCUAUAAAAAUCCCCUAUCACUGAUACGAUUCUGUAUGCCAUGUACAAAAAAAUUCUGUAAAAAAUGGAGAAAAGCUUACAAUAAUCUCCACAGAGAACCAGAGGCAAUAAUGAGAAGGGUAAGAAGUAAAGUAAAUGUGGAGGCAGCAACCUGGUUAGAGGGGUGCCACAUGAAUUAUUUAUUUAUUUAUUGAGUCGGAUUUUUUGCUCUUGUCGCCUAGGCUGGAGUGCAAUGACGUGAUUUCAGCUCACUGCAACCUCAGCCUUCAGGUUCAAGUGAUUCUCCUCCCUCAGCCUUCCAGGCAUCUGGGAUUACAGGAGCCAACCACCAUGCCUGCCUAAUAUUUUUGUAUUUUCAGUAGAGAUGGGGUUUUACCAUGUUGGCCAGGCUGGCCUCCAUCUCCUGACCUUGGUGAUCUGCCUGCCUCAGCCUCCCAAAGUGCUGGGAUCACAGGUGUGAGCCACUGGACCUGGCCUGCUACGUGAUUUAAAUGGAAGCUGUGUCUGUGUAGCCAGCACAGCAUUUUUAUAUUACAUGUAUCUGCGUGUCCUGAUGCAAGUGUGAAUUUGGGUGGGGAGUGACUCAUGGCUAUCCAGGGUGGACUAAGCCAGCUACUCUUGGCACUGUACAGGAGCCUGAUAGGCUCUCCACCCGCAUAAUUCAAACAGAUGGUAGAACACUAGAACACUUGUGUGCAUCCAGAAACAAACCCAACUAGGUCAGGAGAGUAUUCCAAAUAUUAUCUUAAUUAUUUCAAUGUAAUUAUAGCCAGUGUAAUUUCUUACCAAAAGAAGUAAUAAGCAUACUCCUUCAUUUAUCUCAAACUAUGCUUAAAUAAUAGCACUGGGUGAAAUUGUUGUGUAAAUUAAGUUAGUUAUGCAAUAUCCCAUUAAGGAAUAUCCUGGAAAGCUAGAUUUAAAACAAGAUAUUGAUUAUAUCUGCAUCUAAUUUGUGGGCUAUGCUAGUGUCUCCUCAAGCUCAUGGGGCGAGAGAGGGGUUUGGUUCACAAAGUUAGUAAAUCAUCUUUAUCACCCUGGGAGUUCGUUGAAUUACAGAUUUCUCCAGCUCUGUCCACUCUGAGAUUCUGAUUCAGUAAAACUGAAGAUUUUAUAUUUCUCUUUAAUAUUGAGCACAACUGAGUAAGCUACAUUUUAUUACUAUUUUCAUCUAUGCAUAUAUAAUUUAAGAUUUUUAUUUCAAAUGCAUUUCUUCUUAAAGCAUAUAAUGAAAAAUAGAAGCAUUAGGAGAGACAUCAUUUUUUGCUAUCAACAAAAAUGUCACCAUCAGUGUAUAGAUUUUAAUUAGAUAUUUUAUCUACUUAAUUUUAGUAGCAUUCCUCAAGAGAAAAUAGAAAAUUUGCAAACUCUGUCUAACAAACCACAUGUACGCAAAUAUGUCUUUAGUCUAUCAGUCAGUUGAUUAUCUAUUUAGCUACUUAUCUCUGUCAUCUAUUGGCUUAAAAUUUUAUUCAGAUUGCCUUUUCUAUGAUGCUUCCUAAAUAACUACUAUAUACACCUAUUUUACAAGUAUUUGUGUUUCUUUUGUUGGUUGAAUUUCUAAAAUCAGAAAAAUACCAUUAUCAAUCCAUCAAUGUGGAUUUCUUACCUCCAUCACCAUCCAACUUACAGUCAUUCCUUUUAAUUUUAAAUACUCUGACUGGGCACAGUGGUGCAUGCCUGUAGUCUUGGCUACUUAGGAGGCUGAGGCAGGAGGAUCACUUGAGCCCAGGAAUUCGAGGCUGCAGUGAGCUACGAUGGCACCACUGCACUCCAGCCUGGGUGACAGAGCAAGAGUCCAGAUCCAAAGAUAAUAAAAAUAAUACUUAAAUUAAUUGUAAAGGAUGCUCAAAUUUGGUGACCUUAACAGAAAAAUAAAUUUAUCUUACAGUACAUUUUAAAAUACACAUGCGCGCGCGCGCGCACACACACACACACACACACACACACACACACACACACACACACACGACAGCAGAAAUUCCCUCAGCCACUUGAAUAGACUAGUCUUAAUAUUGGUGUGAUACUUAUUUCUGUGGGUGAUACAGGUUUAGAAGUGAAUUUUCCCAGAAAUGAAGACAAAGGAAUGAGUAAAAAGUACAUCAGAGGAUAUCUUUUCUAUACUAACCUAGAGUCUCAUGCCAA